UCCUGUAUAGAGAAGWAAAMMAKUKGSAGGAGUAUAYGUCUSACCUGACGUACUACAGAGGCACGGCUACUACGKGCRGCAGCSGCGUAUACGUAGUGCAAGSGUGUUCCGGAAUWUGGCGUAAGGGCUGGCAGGCGGUUUUUAAGUCUGAUGUGAAAGCCCCGGCUCAACCGGGGAGGGUCAUGGAAACUGGGAAACUGAGUGCAGAAGAGGAGAGUGGAUUUCCACGUGUAGCGGUGAAAUGCGUAGAGAUGUGGAGGAACACCAGUGGCGAAGGSGACUCUCUGGUCUGUAACUGACGCUGAGGAGCGAAAGCGUGGGGAGCGAACAGGAUUAGAUACCCUGGUAGUCCACGCCGUAAACGAUGAGUGCUAAGUGUUAGGGGGUUUCCGCCCCUUAGUGCUGCAGCUAACGCAUUAAGCACUCCGCCUGGGGAGUACGGUCGCAAGACUGAAACUCAAAGGAAUUGACGGGGGCCCGCACAAGCGGUGGAGCAUGUGGUUUAAUUCGAAGCAACGCGAAGAACCUUACCAGGUCUUGACAUCCUCUGACAACCCUAGAGAUAGGGCUUUCCCUUCGGGGACAGAGUGACAGGUGGUGCAUGGUGUCGUCAGCUCGUGUCGUGAGAUGUUGGGUUAAGUCCCGCAACGAGCGCAACCCUUGAUCUUAGUUGCCAGCAUUCAGUUGGGCACUCUAAGGUGACUGCCGGUGACAAACCGGAGGAAGGUGGGGAUGACGUCAAAUCAUCAUGCCCCUUAUGACCUGGGCUACACACGUGCUACAAUGGACAGAACAAAGGGCUGCRAGACCGCAAGGUUUAGCCAAUCCCAUAAAUCUGUKSUCAGUUCGGAUCGCAGUCUGCAACUCGACUGCGUGAAGCUGGAAUCGCUAGUAAUCGCGGAUCAGCAUKCYKMAGGKGAAUACGUUCCCGGGCCUUGUACACACCGCCCGUUCUUWYWUAYWRAGRGCGGGGGAA
This 976-nucleotide ribosomal RNA is filed under the name Bacillus pumilus. RNAcentral's name for it is "partial 16S ribosomal RNA". It matches the Rfam family "Bacterial small subunit ribosomal RNA", at positions 431 to 1425 of the family's 1533-position model. The record is from RNAcentral. Lineage: Bacteria; Bacillati; Bacillota; Bacilli; Caryophanales; Bacillaceae.